UGCGGCUCCGGCAGCCUUCCUCGGCCACCGUCUGCCGUAGCGGCUGCGUCUUGCACCAGUCACUGCGCAGGGCGAGGGGAUGGAGCCUUGAGGCCGAGACUUCCUGGACGCUGCGGCAGCACACAGGGCUGUAGCCAGGAGGGCCGACAGCACGAGCUUCUUCCACUGCAUCCUUCAACAAAGCACUACCUUGCUACAUAAGACCUGAGGAGGCCAGC
Scleropages formosus (Asian bonytongue) is the source of this 218-nucleotide long non-coding RNA. RefSeq lists it as uncharacterized. The record is from RefSeq and is a predicted model, not a curated record. The transcript is spliced from 3 exons. NCBI's taxonomy places the organism in Eukaryota, Metazoa, Chordata, Actinopteri, Osteoglossiformes, Osteoglossidae.